UUUUAAAAAAUAAUUUUUAAUAAAAUCUGCUCCAUGACAAUUUAAAUAGCCGCAGAUAUUCUGUGCUAAGGUAGCAUAAUCACUUGCCUUCUAAUUAAAGGCUAGAAUGAAAGAUUUAACAUUUUAAUUACUAUUUCAAAUCUAAUUUUUUAACCUAUUCUAAAUGUAAAAAAACAUUUAUUCUUUAGAAAGACGACAAGACCCUAUUGAACUUAACUUUAGUUUUACUGGGGCAGUAAAUUAAAAAUUACUUUAAUUUCCUUUAACCCUCCGACAGACCCAAUCUAAUUGAUUUUAUGACCAAGUUACCAUAGGGAUAACAGCGCUAUAAUUAUUUAAAGAUCUUAUUUAAAUAAUAUCUUACGACCUCGAUGUUGAAUAAUUCCCCCGUAAACGCAAUAGUUUUCUCACGGAAGUCUGUUCGACUUUUAAUUUAUUACA
This 441-nucleotide ribosomal RNA is filed under the name Penestomus egazini. RNAcentral's name for it is "partial 16S ribosomal RNA". It matches the Rfam family "Bacterial large subunit ribosomal RNA", at positions 1830 to 2600 of the family's 2925-position model. Lineage: Eukaryota; Metazoa; Arthropoda; Arachnida; Araneae; Penestomidae. The record is from RNAcentral.